RNAcentral lists this ribosomal RNA (465 nucleotides) under Vreelandella stevensii. RNAcentral's name for it is "partial 16S ribosomal RNA". It matches the Rfam family "Bacterial small subunit ribosomal RNA", at positions 338 to 795 of the family's 1533-position model. The record is from RNAcentral. Lineage: Bacteria; Pseudomonadati; Pseudomonadota; Gammaproteobacteria; Oceanospirillales; Halomonadaceae.
CCUACGGGUGGCUGCAGUGGGGAAUAUUGGACAAUGGGGGGAACCCUGAUCCAGCCAUGCCGCGUGUGUGAAGAAGGCCCUCGGGUUGUAAAGCACUUUCAGUGAGGAAGAACGCCUGGUGGUGAAUACCCAUCAGGAAAGACAUCACUCACAGAAGAAGCACCGGCUAACUCCGUGCCAGCAGCCGCGGUAAUACGGAGGGUGCGAGCGUUAAUCGGAAUUACUGGGCGUAAAGCGCGCGUAGGUGGCUUGAUAAGCCGGUUGUGAAAGCCCCGGGCUCAACCUGGGAACGGCAUCCGGAACUGUCAAGCUAGAGUGCAGGAGAGGAAGGUAGAAUUCCCGGUGUAGCGGUGAAAUGCGUAGAGAUCGGGAGGAAUACCAGUGGCGAAGGCGGCCUUCUGGACUGACACUGACACUGAGGUGCGAAAGCGUGGGUAGCAAACAGGAUUAGAUACCCCAGUAGUC